UGAGGAAUAUUGGUCAAUGGGCGGAAGCCUGAACCAGCCAAGUCGCGUGAGGGAUGACGGCCCUACGGGUUGUAAACCUCUUUUGCCGGGGAACAGAUUGCGGGACGUGUCCCGCGGAGGAGUGUACCCGGAGAAAAAGCAUCGGCUAACUCCGUGCCAGCAGCCGCGGUAAUACGGAGGAUGCGAGCGUUAUCCGGAUUUAUUGGGUUUAAAGGGUGCGUAGGCGGCGCCUCAAGUCAGCGGUCAAACCGGGGGGCUCAACCUUCCGUCGCCGUUGAAACUGGGGCGCUUGAGUGGGCGAGAAGUGCGCGGAAUGCGUGGUGUAGCGGUGAAAUGCAUAGAUAUCACGCAGAACUCCGAUUGCGAAGGCAGCGCACCGGCGCCCAACUGACGCUGAAGCACGAAAGCGUGGGUAUCGAACAGG
This 424-nucleotide ribosomal RNA is filed under the name uncultured bacterium. Its description in RNAcentral is "bacterial SSU rRNA". It matches the Rfam family "Bacterial small subunit ribosomal RNA", at positions 355 to 776 of the family's 1533-position model. The record is from RNAcentral.